AGAUUUCUGCAGAAGAGGAGGACGAAGGUCGCCCACGGACCCUCGGGUGACCUCGGUGCGGCCUGGUGGCCGGGCACACCCGCGCAUGGACGAGGUCCCUCCCAGGGGUCUCCCUGCAGGGGUCUCCGGGGAGGUAGUGGGCACGUGGGUCCUUAACCUCUCCAUUGCAUCAUCCCCAUCCCGGUGGGUACAGAAGCGCAGCAACCCCGCGGUGCUCCCGGAAGACACCGCGUCUCCAACAUUUACACGGAGAUGCUGCUCGGCUCAGGUCGGGUCCGUACGCUUCCCGAGGUGCGUACUACGCGAGCCACACACAUCACUACCGAUAUUCCUGAGAAAGUCGGUGCCACACCCUUCACUUUUCUACGGAGUUCACAUCAGUUUCAGCAAUCCGCGUUCUCAGUUCGCUUUGCCCGGGCGAGUGGGUUCCAUCAUCACCUGAACCAAAAACGCACCAGGGCGCGCGUGCCCAGGCACCAAGGCCAGAGAAACCGCACGUUUCGAGUCCCCAGUUGCUGAGAAACAAUCACAGCCCUCCUCUUUUCUCCCCCUUCUGCAGGUUCCGACCUGAAUCUGAAAGUGCUUCUAAACCCCAUGCUUCACAGAACGUUCGGAGGGGGAGGCGCUCCGUGGGGGCUGCUGCGUGCCCAUGUAGCCGAACUGACUCGAAUAAAAGCGUGUCCACGUCUACAUCACACAUCUGUGUAAAUGCAGAAGCCUGCGGAUGCGCGGGGCUGGCCAGACUUCACAGUGUGCAGACACAUGGGCUCAUGCACGCGCACGCGCGCGCUCACACACACACCCCAAAUUACCUCCGGGAUGGAGAAAGCCGCUGCGGAUUGGCCAGCAGAGCCGUCACUCACGCCCAGGGGGCAGGGAGACUUCGCAAAGCUGUUUCCUUUUUUUUUUUUCCUCCUCUCCUCCCUACCGUUUCAUUUAAUGGUAAAACAACAGCAGAGCUCUGAAAGUUAGCCAUCUGCGCAGAGUUUGCCUUCUUUAAGGAGGGAGGCGUCAGACGAUAUCCAUUUAAAUAUAUUUUGUACUUCCACAAAGGAUGGAAAGGGAAAUUCACGAAGGGAGUGGAGGCGGAAAGGGAGCUCCGAGAAAGAAGGAGGGGUCAUUCCGCGGGGGGCGGGGGGGGGGGCGGGGGCCGACGCAGGGGAAAGAGUUGCUCUCUACACCGAAAAGGGACUUUGACCUUCCAUUGAUCUCGAAAUUCAAAAACGUUUCUUCACAGGUCAGAUUGUAACAAACACUCGUUCCUAAUUUAUGAACUCGCCGUUUUGAUUUUAUUAUUUAAGCAUGCGCCAGCAAUCGUGUUUCCUUAAGAAAGAACUGACCUAUUUUUGGCUGGAGAUAAACGAUCAUGUUAACAGAUGUUAAUCUUGUAAUCUGUUUUUCCUGUAAGCACUUUACCUAGCCGGGUUUCAGACCUUAAAAAUAACAUCUUUUCCAAAAAGACCUGACGUCACAAUUCACUCCCUGAAAAAUCACACUCCCCCUCCAGUUUCUUCCCCUGCAAUGAUUUCAAAGACAUUAAAUCUUUUCCACUUUAUAAAUGCUGAUCUGUUCUGCCUCUACUCCCACAGGCUCUUAUUUGCAUUUCAAAUUCCACAGGUUACACCAGUCGCCUUUUCAAAAAAUGUAAACCAACAAUGCAGCAGCAAAUGGCUUUUUGUGCAUCUGGAUUAAAUAAAGCACAGAAUGAAUAUAUUUAAAAAGAGGGCUGCGCAAGU
RNAcentral lists this long non-coding RNA (1736 nucleotides) under Homo sapiens (human). Its description in RNAcentral is "non-protein coding lnc-ZNF236-8:11". Lineage: Eukaryota; Metazoa; Chordata; Mammalia; Primates; Hominidae. The record is from RNAcentral.